This is a small nuclear RNA of Medicago truncatula (barrel medic), 106 nucleotides long. The record is from Rfam. Lineage: Eukaryota; Viridiplantae; Streptophyta; Magnoliopsida; Fabales; Fabaceae.
ACAAACAAAUGUUUCUUUGAGGUAAAAUUGGAACGAUACGAAGAAGAUUAGCAUGGCCUCCUCAUCGAGGAUGACACGCACAUAUUAAGAUACGGUCCAAAAAACA